GACGUAGGAUCCGAGCGUUGUCCGGAGUUACUGGGCGUAAAGGGCGCGCAGGCGGAUACGCGCAUCGGCGGUGAAAGCCCCCCGCUCAACGGGGGAGGGUCCGUCGAGAUGGCGUGUCUGGAGGCAGGGAGAGGCCAGUGGAAUUCCGGGUGUAGUGGUGAAAUGCGUAGAGAUCCGGAGGAACACCAGUGGCGAAGGCGGCUGGCUGGACCUGACCUGACGCUGAGGCGCGAAGGCGUGGGGAGCGAACGGGAUUAGAUACCCCAGUAGUCC
Molecule: ribosomal RNA, 273 nt
Filed under: uncultured bacterium
Lineage: Bacteria
Description: partial 16S ribosomal RNA
Rfam family: Bacterial small subunit ribosomal RNA
Source: RNAcentral